CCGGCCCAGGGGAGCACCCGCUGCUUUCCCGGCGCCCAGGGGUGUGCAGCCCCCUACCUGUAGAAGCGGUCAUCCCUGAAGGGCGUGAGAUCCUCCCUGAGCUCGCGUCCUGCUAGGCUUGGUCUGAUGGUGGUGCUGCAGACUGAACUUGGGACUCUGGAGCCUAAGAAGCUGCCCCCUUCGGGCGGUAACGCAGUGGGUUAAGCGCAGGUGGUGCAAAGCACAAGGACCGGCGUAAGGAUCCCGGUUCACAGGUGGUGAAGCAGGUCUGCAGGUGUCUAUCUUUCUCUCCCCCUCUCUGCCUUCCCCUCCUCUCUCCAAGUCUCUCUGUCGUAGGCAACAAAAACAAUGUCAAUAACCACAACAAUGUUAAACAACAAGGGCAACAAAAAAAGGAAAAUAAAUAAAUAAAUAUUAAAAAAAAAAAAGAAGCUGCCCCUUAAUUCAGUUUUGUUUUGCCACUGGGCCCACUACUGGGCUUGGUGUCUGCAUAAGGGAUCUGCCGCUCCUGGCGGCCACCUCCCCACCCCCACCCCCACCCCCUUUA
Molecule: long non-coding RNA, 547 nt
Organism: Erinaceus europaeus (western European hedgehog)
Lineage: Eukaryota; Metazoa; Chordata; Mammalia; Eulipotyphla; Erinaceidae
Exons: 3
Source: RefSeq, a predicted model, not a curated record